AACUGGAUGAUCAACAACAAGAUGACUUUCAUCACCAUAUUGAUCUGGACAAUGACAGUAUUAUGUCAAGAAUCUAUUGGGCAGGUGACCGUGACUCAAACUCCCUCAAAGCUCGCUCAAACUGGACAAUCAGUCACUGUAACCUGUAAAUUUAGCAGUGAUCCUACCUGUUGUUGUAAUGGAAAACAGUGUCUCAGCUGGUACUUACAGAAACCUGGAGGAAUUCCCAAACUCCUGAUUUAUGGUACAAGCACACUCCAGUCAGGAACUCCAUCUAGAUUCAGUGGCAGUGGAUCUAACAGUGAUUUUACUCUGACCAUCAGUGGAGUCCAGACUGAAGAUGCUGGACAUUAUUACUGUCAGAGUUUUCACUGCAGGACAAAUUCUUAUGGUGGCUGUGCGGGUGAUUAUGUGUUCACACAGUGAUAAAGAGUCGUACAAAAACCUCCGUCAGUCAGAGUCACAGUGACUGAACUGAUUCUGCAGCUGCUCAAACACUAUCACUCACUACUGACACACAGAGACCAAACACAGGAACUACACAUGUGCU
Molecule: non-coding RNA, 550 nt
Organism: Labeo rohita (rohu)
Lineage: Eukaryota; Metazoa; Chordata; Actinopteri; Cypriniformes; Cyprinidae
Source: the annotation of a RefSeq genome assembly